Molecule: ribosomal RNA, 258 nt
Filed under: uncultured bacterium
Lineage: Bacteria
Description: partial 16S ribosomal RNA
Rfam family: Bacterial small subunit ribosomal RNA
Source: RNAcentral
UUGAACGCUGGCGGCAGGCCUAACACAUGCAAGUCGAGCGGAUGAAGGGAGCUUGCUCCUGGAUUCAGCGGCGGACGGGUGAGUAAUGCCUAGGAAUCUGCCUGGUAGUGGGGGAUAACGUCCGGAAACGGGCGCUAAUACCACAUACGUCCUGAGGGAGAAAGUGGGGGAUCUUCGGACCUCACGCUAUCAGAUGAGCCUAGGUCGGAUUAGCUAGUUGGUGGGGUAAAGGCCUACCAAGGCGACGAUCCGUAACUG